This 468-nucleotide ribosomal RNA is filed under the name uncultured bacterium. RNAcentral's name for it is "partial 16S ribosomal RNA". It matches the Rfam family "Bacterial small subunit ribosomal RNA", at positions 28 to 507 of the family's 1533-position model. The record is from RNAcentral.
GACGAACGCUGACGGCGUGCUUAACACAUGCAAGUCGAACGGAAAGGCCCUGCUUUUGUGGGGUGCUCGAGUGGCGAACGGGUGAGUAACACGUGAGUAACCUGCCCUUGACUUUGGGAUAACUUCAGGAAACUGGGGCUAAUACCGGAUAGGAGCUCCUGCUGCAUGGUGGGGGUUGGAAAGUUUCGGCGGUUGGGGAUGGACUCGCGGCUUAUCAGCUUGUUGGUGGGGUAGUGGCUUACCAAGGCUUUGACGGGUAGCCGGCCUGAGAGGGUGACCGGCCACAUUGGGACUGAGAUACGGCCCAGACUCCUACGGGAGGCAGCAGUGGGGAAUAUUGCACAAUGGGCGGAAGCCUGAUGCAGCAACGCCGCGUGCGGGAUGACGGCCUUCGGGUUGUAAACCGCUUUCGCCUGUGACGAAGCGUGAGUGACGGUAAUGGGUAAAGAAGCGCCGGCUAACUACGUG